Long non-coding RNA from Helianthus annuus (common sunflower), 2156 nucleotides. RefSeq lists it as uncharacterized. Lineage: Eukaryota; Viridiplantae; Streptophyta; Magnoliopsida; Asterales; Asteraceae. The record is from RefSeq and is a predicted model, not a curated record. The transcript is spliced from 10 exons.
UCUGCGACUCAUGAACAGAUCUAGGGUUUUUCUUUCAUUCGAUUUCAAAUCCAUGACCCCAUCCUGUGAUGGUGUGGUGUGCAGUGUUAAAAUCCGCCGAUUAGGGUUCCGGCAGUGGGAUUCUCGAGCAGAUUGGUGGCAAAUGAGACAAGCAUCUGGCGGUAGAUGGUGGUUGAGGUAGGUUCCGACAACCUGGUUGAGUUCUUUACAUGAAACAAGAGCUAACAAACCCAGAAGCCAGAAUUGUUCUUGCGUCUUGCGAGUUGAAGGCUAUAAUAUCGAAUUAAGGAUUGAUUUUGGUGUGUAACAUCACUGAUCUGGGGCUUAUUGCAAUCAAUAAUCCAUUGUAGAUUCAAGGCUAUAAUUGCUAUUUAAGGUUUGAUAUGGAGUUUACUGUGAUUUUAAGACUGAAAUUAUUGUUUGUGGCUGAUUUAAGAACCUGAUUAAGAAACAAUUGUCAAGGUCUGUCAAAAGCACACAAGAACAAAAAGGGAAUUCAGUAAAAAAAUUAGAUGAAGAGGGGUGCCACUUAAGUUGGUCAAGGAGAAUGAAUAUUAUGAUAGGCGUAGCUAAAGGUCUAAGGUAUCUUCACAUGGAAAUCGAGCCACCCAUUUACUAUAUCCAAGCUAAACUCAAGUGCAGUGGUAUCUUACGGAAGAUUUUUCACCAAAGCUUGUUGACUUUGAAAGUUGGAAAACGUUUGUGACGAGAUCAGAAAGUAGUGCACAUUCGAUUACCCACGAAGGCGAUAUAUGUGUCCUUCCUGAGGUGCCUGCACACUUCUGGAAAAUGCUGGUUAUAUCAGAAGCAGGGCAGGUGGAGCAUUCCAAAAAGGAGUACGAAAACCCUUCGCUUUUGUGAUUUGCGCCCCUGAUUUUAGACCUUGUUGCUUUUGUACACUUCGUGCUUUUUUAAACCAAGGUCAAAAUAUCCAAACCCCAGAAGAGGUGGUUUUACCCGAUAAUUCCCUCUGGUAGAGGUGUUAAGAAGAGGUGGUUUUACUGGCAUGAUGACGGGUCAUGUUGGCUGGAUGAUGGUGACCGUACACAUCAACAAGUGUGCGCUCUUCUGCUAUGCAGAAGACUAUUGAAAGUUUGAAACCACAACUCACUGCAAGCUAGAGUUGAUGCAUUUGGGGUUUAGUUCUCUUUUAUUAACUGUUUUCCAAUCAAGAAUUGUCAAGAUUUGUGUAUAAGAGAGUAUCAUGGAACACCUUCUUCCAUGCUCGCUGCAUGAUAAAGAAGAGGCGUUAAACCCCAAACCCGAGGGUACUUCUCAUGUUCGUCAUUUACUCGCAGAAGUAGUGGUUGUCGGCUACUGUGCUGGAGCAGAUUGGGCGUGUUAAUACAGGAGAUUUGGAACUCCAAGAUAGCUCUACCGAUGCAUUAAAACUUCGGUUUUGGGUAUCCUAUCGAGGACAAACUUAGCUAGAACUGGUCAGGAUAAAUAUAGAAGACGAAGGCUUUGCAGAAACUGAUUCCCAAUUCAAAUAAGACUGAUAAAGGCAUCAAUGUUGGAUGAAUCAUUUGAAUAUCUGAAGUAGCUUCAGCUCAGAGUACAGAUGUCAGCGAACGGGGUGAAUUUUCAAUGUCUGUACCACCAGGAAUUCCAGCCACAUCAGCUUCACCGUUCAAGAAUGGCGCCACAUGAACCUGAAUAUGCAUGUGGCGUCACCACAAGCCCUAAUGAGUUUUCCAAUCUGAGACACUUUUUAAAACUAAGCUCAUACCCAUAAUGAUUCUGGACUUAUUUCCUCACCGACGUAUAAAUUCAGACUAUAAAUGGGUCAAAAAGUCUCUUAUUAAUUUCGGUUUUGAUUAGCAUGUUAGAAGAUGAGUCGGAGGAAGUUAAAGAUAAUGCUGCUCAAGUGCUUGCUUGUUUAUACAAGGACCUGUUGUGUGAUCGAAUGUCGGGUGCGCUGAGGCGGUGUCCUUUUGCACUAACCCAACUUAUUUUUUCUGUUAAACUCUUAACACGUGCCACUCACAUGAGGGCACAUGUUAAGAGUUAACAGAAAAAUUAACUGGGUUAUGGCAAAAGGACCCCACCUGAUGAGAAUCAAUAACAUAAAGGACAUCCAAUGUAACUUCGUUAGCUAAAGGACAACGCCUACAAUUUGGCUCAAACUUAAAGGAUGUAAAAUGCAAUUUACUGUC